Syngnathus acus (greater pipefish) is the source of this 321-nucleotide long non-coding RNA. RefSeq lists it as uncharacterized. The transcript has 3 exons. The record is from RefSeq and is a predicted model, not a curated record. Lineage: Eukaryota; Metazoa; Chordata; Actinopteri; Syngnathiformes; Syngnathidae.
ACGGCAGAACCGCACUUGGCAGUCAAACAGAAGCUUAUUGCCUUCUAUUUGGCUGCAUCAGAUCAACACGGCACUUAUGUGGUGGAUCAGUAAUAUUAGCUACAUUUGAAGUGCCACGACGAAAGAGUGUGAAAAUGUCUGCAAGGACUCCAUCAAAGGACCGUAGUCGUCGACGACUGUAUGAUCUUUGGCUGCAGCCUUAUGUUGUGUUACGCAGAACUGACAUCAGUGAAGCUAUUUGUCCUAGGCAGCAGGCGCAAGAGCGCACUCGCGUUAAAGAGGAAGAUGGAGGCAAAGAGGUCCACCACUUUGAUGAACAAA